GGCCCGUGCAUCGGGUUGCCCAACCCCGGGCUGCGCGCACCGCCUCGCCCCUCCGCGCCAGGCCCGGGCAGGGGCCACUUCCGGCUAUGGCUGCACAUCUGAGCGCGCCGGGGCCUGGCGCGGGCGGGUGUAGACGGUCCCAGCCGCGCCGCCGCGCAGGCUCCCGCCAUGGCAAAAGGAAGGCCUGAAGGGUGGCCCGGGAGGCUGGGGAGGGCGGCCCGGGAGCCCAGAUCGCCGCGCAGGUGUGGGCGCAGCGCUCUGCGGAAGGAGCCCGGGAGGGUUGUUCUUUCUGGCCCAGCCCUGGGGUGAAGCCGGGGCCCCGCAGCUGCACCGCUGGGCCGCACCCGGGCCCCAGGCAGUUUCUGCAGCGAGCGGGUGGCCCCUGAAGGAGGUCACCCUUUUCUGAUCCUGGAUGGAAAAUGGAGGCCAGGCCCAGGGCAGGACUGGAGGUUCUGGAGGCCACCGGCCGGAUGUGGAAGGGAGGAAACGCUGCUGGCCGAGGACCGGGCAGGGGUGGCACCAGCAGAGAGGAUCAGUCUGGCUGGGCACCAGUGUCCCCACCGGGUCCCGCGCGAACCUCCUUUGUCUCAACUCCUGGCUUGGCCUCAGCUUCAACUGUCCUGGCUGCUGCACCAGCUUUUCACCUGUCACCAGAAUGGCGUGAGAUGCAGCUGUGACCGGUCUUAAGAGAUCCACCCCAUCUGAAGGUCCACCCAAAAGCCUCUCCAUUCAGCCAGGCCACCCCGCUGGGCAGGGCUCCUGUCCCCAACACCAGGACCAUGGUGACUAACACUUUCCCCCUGAGCUUGCCCUCUACCCGAGCCACAUCCCCAGCCCAGGCUGGUCUUGAACUUCCAAGCAGCUGGGAUUACAGCCCCGACACCCAGACUUCACCUAGUUCCUGGGGUCUUGAAGGUCCCUGCUACCACCCUGGGUGCUCCCUGAGGCCACUCCUGCCUGCGCUGGCUCGGCCCCGCCCAGGAAGGAUGAGGGACUGUCCGUCCCUACCCCCCACAGGUGGGCAGGCUAUAGGGUGGACAGGUGGCUUCAUGUAACUGGUAGAUAACAGGCCCAUGGCUCAGGCCACUGCCUGGGGGAGGCUUGUCGGUGGCUCUUCUGCCUCCAGUGGCUUCUUGUCCUGAUGUCACAUGCCCCUGGUGGCAAAGAAAUGAGCAGUGUCUGUCCCCAGACGGCAGGGACACUGCUUCUGUCUGGCAAGGAAGGGGUGUCUGAGCAGCCACCUGAACUGGGUCUCCUGCUGCUGUGUCCCCAGUUGCAGCCACAAUUCCAGAAGUGAACAUACACAGUUAAGAGCA
Long non-coding RNA from Sciurus carolinensis (gray squirrel), 1316 nucleotides. RefSeq lists it as uncharacterized. Lineage: Eukaryota; Metazoa; Chordata; Mammalia; Rodentia; Sciuridae. The record is from RefSeq and is a predicted model, not a curated record. The transcript has 4 exons.